RNAcentral lists this ribosomal RNA (300 nucleotides) under uncultured Lactobacillus sp. RNAcentral's name for it is "bacterial SSU rRNA". It matches the Rfam family "Bacterial small subunit ribosomal RNA", at positions 492 to 795 of the family's 1533-position model. The record is from RNAcentral. Lineage: Bacteria; Bacillati; Bacillota; Bacilli; Lactobacillales; Lactobacillaceae.
CGCGACGGAGGUGCAAGCAGUCGGGGUAAGACGGAGGGGGCGAGCGUUGUCCGGAGUUUGUGGGGGGAAAGAGCGGGUAAGCGGCCGGGUAGGUCUGCUGUGAAAACUCGGGGCUCAACCUCGAGAUGUCGGCGGAAACCACCUGGCUAGAGUCCGGAAGAGGAGAGUGGAAUUCCUGGUGUAGCGGUGAAAUGCGCAGAUAUCAGGAAGAACACCUAUGGCGAAGGCAGCUCUCUGGGACGGUACUGACGCUGAGACGCGAAAGCGUGGGGAGCGAACAGGAUUAGAUACCCGGUAGUC